Molecule: ribosomal RNA, 503 nt
Filed under: uncultured bacterium
Lineage: Bacteria
Description: partial 16S ribosomal RNA
Rfam family: Bacterial small subunit ribosomal RNA
Source: RNAcentral
AUUGAACGCUGGCGGCAGGCUUAACACAUGCAAGUCGAGCGGGGUGAUGGUGCUUGCACUAUCACUUAGCGGCGGACGGGUGAGUAAUGCUUAGGAAUCUGCCUAUCAGUGGGGGACAACAUCUCGAAAGGGAUGCUAAUACCGCAUACGUCCUACGGGAGAAAGCAGGGGAUCACUUGUGACCUUGCGCUAAUAGAUGAGCCUAAGUCGGAUUAGCUAGUUGGUGGGGUAAAGGCCUACCAAGGCGACGAUCUGUAGCGGGUCUGAGAGGAUGAUCCGCAACACUGGGACUGAGACACGGCCCAGACUCCUACGGGAGGGAGCAGUGGGGAAUAUUGGACAAUGGGGGGAACCCUGAGCCAGCCAUGCCGCGUGUGUGAAGAAGGCCUUAUGGUUGUAAAGCACUUUAAGCGAGGAGGAGGCUCUUUUGGUUAAUACCCAAGAUGAGUGGACGUUACUCGCAGAAUAAGCACCGGCUAACUCUGUGCCAGCAGCCGCGGUAA